AGAGUUUGAUCAUGGCUCAGAUUGAACGCUGGCGGCAGGCUUAACACAUGCAAGUCGAGCGGAAACGAUGGUAGCUUGCUACCAGGCGUCGAGCGGCGGACGGGUGAGUAAUACUUAGGAAUCUACCUAGUAGUGGGGGAUAGCACGGGGAAACUCGUAUUAAUACCGCAUACGACCUACGGGAGAAAGGGGGCAGUUUACUGCUCUCGCUAUUAGAUGAGCCUAAGUCGGAUUAGCUAGAUGGUGGGGUAAAGGCCUACCAUGGCGACGAUCUGUAGCUGGUCUGAGAGGAUGAUCAGCCACACCGGGACUGAGACACGGCCCGGACUCCUACGGGAGGCAGCAGUGGGGAAUAUUGGACAAUGGGGGAAACCCUGAUCCAGCCAUGCCGCGUGUGUGAAGAAGGCCUUUUGGUUGUAAAGCACUUUAAGCAGUGAAGAAGACUCUUCGGUUAAUACCCGGAGACGAUGACAUUAGCUGCAGAAUAAGCACCGGCUAACUCUGUGCCAGCAGCCGCGGUAAUACAGAGGGUGCAAGCGUUAAUCGGAAUUACUGGGCGU
This 560-nucleotide ribosomal RNA is filed under the name uncultured bacterium. RNAcentral's name for it is "bacterial SSU rRNA". It matches the Rfam family "Bacterial small subunit ribosomal RNA", at positions 8 to 561 of the family's 1533-position model. The record is from RNAcentral.